CGCUGGAUAUCCUGGAUGAAUGGCAAGCGGACUAUUCUGCAUCAGAAGGGGACGAAUGGUGUGACAAGACCAAUCUCACCACUGUGCAUUGGAGGAGCCUGGUUGCCUGCUUGCUGCCUUUAGACUAUGGCGCCAUGUUGAAACGCUUGAUUUUCCCCAGCUAAGACACGAAAGCCGGGUCAUUCGGUACUUGCCCUAUUUGAACAGUGAUACCCUAGAUAUCUAUGCCAUGGAUAUCCCAUUCGUAUAACGAAAGACUAUGCGAAAGACUUUGG
Pelobates cultripes (western spadefoot toad) is the source of this 275-nucleotide non-coding RNA. Lineage: Eukaryota; Metazoa; Chordata; Amphibia; Anura; Pelobatidae. The record is from the annotation of a GenBank genome assembly.